AAGCUUUUUCCACAGGUUUCACAAGAAUAUGGCUUCUCACCUGUGUGACAUCUCAUGUGUUCAGUCAAAUGGGUCCGUCGACUAAAGCUUUUUUCACAGGUUCCACAAGAAUAUGGCUUCUCACCUGUGUGACAUCUCAUGUGAACAGUCAAAUGGACCCGUUGACUGAAGCUUUUUCCACAGGUUUCACAAGAAUAUGGCUUCUCACCUGUGUGACAUGUCAUGUGUUCAGUCAAAGAGGUUCGUCGACUAAAGCUUUUUUCACAGGUUCCACAAGAAUAUGGCUUCUCACCUGUGUGACAUCUCAUGUGAACAGUCAAAUGGACCCGUUGACUGAAGCUUUUUCCACAGGUUUCACAAGAAUAUGUCUUCUCACCUGUGUGGG
Molecule: long non-coding RNA, 385 nt
Organism: Acanthochromis polyacanthus (spiny chromis)
Lineage: Eukaryota; Metazoa; Chordata; Actinopteri; Pomacentridae
Exons: 3
Source: RefSeq, a predicted model, not a curated record